Mustela erminea (ermine) is the source of this 3072-nucleotide long non-coding RNA. RefSeq lists it as uncharacterized. NCBI's taxonomy places the organism in Eukaryota, Metazoa, Chordata, Mammalia, Carnivora, Mustelidae. The record is from RefSeq and is a predicted model, not a curated record. The transcript has 3 exons.
UCAAAACAAUGCCCAACCUUUGACAUUGUCUACAUCAUGACCUCCUCAUGUACAAAGACGGUUCCGGGAAAGCGCUUUCCUUGUGCUCCCCCAUAUUCCUGCCCGCCUCCGUUUACAUCAAGUUCUCAGGGGCACUUUAGUUUACAUGUAGUUCUCAUGUACUCUGUCCCCUUAGAUCCCCAGGAGACCUUGUUUGAUAGGCAAGGUGAGCAUGAUCGGUCCAUGUUAUAAAUGAGAUGGAUUUAGAACCAAAGUGCCUUGCUCGCAAUCAAACCGUUGAUAACAAACUCAGGACCAGAAACUGUAGUUUCUAAUGUUUGUUCACGCAGGUUUCCUUCUAUCCCUCUGCAUAAACCUCUCUUAAAGGCAUUCUUCUGGGGGAAAAAAAAAAUUUUUUUUUUCUCCAAAGACAUUUUUAAUGAGAUUUUGCUUUCAUGGCAGAUGGCAUUUAGAGCCGCUGAUGAAUCUCCACAUUAACCAGAGAAAUGAGGCUGAUACUGCACACACAGACACAAAAAGACAGAAGACGACUUCUCCGUGUUCUUUUAGAAACUUGUCCUGGGGGUUAUCCUGGCAUAUGUGGCCAGCACCUGGGACACUUUGUGACCUCAUAGAAUGAGAGGAGAGAUCUGGCAUUCAUUCAACAACAAAUAUUUCUUUAGAUAACUGUAGUCCAGGCACAGGUCUAGGGGCUGAGUCCCCAGUGGUGAAUAAGAGCAGGUUAGCUCCUGUUCUCGUGGCGUAUGUAUGACAUUUAGGGAGAAGGCGAGUGAGCCAUCCAAUAAGCAGAUGGGCGAGUUCAGACAGUGGUGAAUCCUAGGACGGAGAGGAAACAGGGCAGUAGGACAGUGAGUGCUGGAAAGGCAGGCUGGUCUGUGAGGGCUUCUCCGAGGAGGGCCUGUUUCUCUGAAUGCUGAUUUGCGUAAUGGGGCGGGUUGGCGAGAAUAUUCUAGGCAGAGGGCAGAGUGAGCACAAGUCCAGGAGAUGGUGAAGAGCCCGCUGUGUGCAGGAAGCUGCUAGCAGGAGAUGCUUCACGCAGCGUUCGUAGGAUGUCACUGUCCCAUCGAUUCUCGAAGAUGCGCCCUCUUCCCUUCCACAGACUUCUGAGGCCUCCUUCGAUGCAGCGUGAAGGGCCCAGAAGUGAGCUGGCCGUGACUGUCCGAGUCAGAAGGUGUUCCCGGAUCACUGAGGUGCCAAGACCAGACGAAAGGCUUCUGCGCUCACCAAGAAUGCAGGGCACGUCCUGUUCACCGCUGGGGAGUGCCCGCUUCGGUGACGAGAACAGCCCAGCAGGAAUUCCAGACAUCCCCCUAACCAGGGCUGACUGAGUCUGAGUCUGGCCAGGCAGGAAGGAAUGUCUUGGCUCAAGAAGGGAAGCGGUCAGAACGCUGGGUCGAGCCCAGUUUUCUGUGGGGGAUGGGGCGUCCUGGCCACUGGACCAAAGCAGUGUUUAUACUCUGGAAGCCAGGAGGAGGUUUCUACCGUGUGUUUGCUUUUCUUCAGCUCAGACGUGGAGGAGAGCCAGGACAGGGUCCACUUUGAAUGGCGCUGCACAUGCAUCUGACUCGAUUGGCUCAUAAUGCUCUAUAUCGGCCCGGGGAGACGCGUUCCCCACCCUCACCGGCGUGCAGAAGGAAAAGGACACGUUUAACAAGCUGCCAGGCCUUUAGAACUAAAAUGGAAUACAAAAACGGGUAUGAAAGGAAGACAAAAAUAAAUAAGUAAAAGACACUGUUUUCCGUUCUCUGACUUGGGCUCAGCCUCGACCCGGAAGUGAAGAUCGUUCUAGAAAGAUCAGGCCUAGCCAUGAGCCCGGUGCACUGUUAGGGCCAACUAGAGGCGAUCGUCGUGAAGAAGGGCUUGCGUCUCUCGGUCUGCCCUUGCUCUCGCAGCCCCUGCGGCACGGCGGAGGGCAAGACGGUGGAUGGCGAGUGUCUGAGCAUUUGCCGUCCGUUUUCUGUUUUUCGAGAGGCUGCUGUGGGGGAGGGGCUGGUUCAGCAGAAGGUCGGGCUGUGGCCGUGUCUCCUGGAGGCCAGGGAGAGGGCAGGGUAAUGGGCAGCUUAACAGAGCACGAGCAAUGGACAGGUUAACCCUGGGGCACUGUGUGAGCAGCGAGAGGGUCUCUGGCCAGGACUCAGGGGUCCGAGGAGGCUUCCUCCGGGAGUGCAGGAAAAGCGGAGGAAGGAAAAAGGGGUAUGUUGGGGAGAGGACCCCCUGCUCCCUGAGACUCAUCCCAUCCCUGAAGAGUAGCUGCCGUUUAGGAUAGACGCUCUGCUCCGUGCUCGUGUUCUCCGCUUCGGGCCCUGCUCCCCUUGGCCGGGCUCCUUGGCGCUGAGCCUGGUGAAAGUUAAUGGUAAGAUAAUGACCUCGGGCUUCCCACUUGCCCUCAGGCCUGUCGCAGACACUUAGCUCCUGCAGCCAAGACCUUGGGGUACCUCUGACAGACCCGUUUAAUUCCCCUGAGGUCAUUGUUGCUGCUGGUGUUUUUGGUCACCCCUCCCUCUUCUGUCCCCCCAUACCUGGGUCACGUUUUAUGGAGCAUUUCCAGAAAUGCUUUCUUUCUAGCCAGAGAAUUGCUGAGACCCAUGGGUCCUGGAGUGGCGUUGGUCUUGGGGCCGUUUGGAAUUUGGCUUUGCUGAGCACAGAAGCUGGUGUGCCCGUGGCCUCCGUCAGCAUCCUGAGAUCAGCGUCUCCCAGCCCAAUGCAGCAGAAAUCUUUCUUCUUCACCUUUGCUGCCACGAUGUCACUCCUUCCUUCUCCGCAGCUCUUGAGAGACGACAAGAGAGCAUAUUGUGGAUUCUGUACGGUACGCGCUCUCGCAUGAGCCCUGUAAAACCUUUGUUACUCUACUUCCCCACCUGUAAAGUGGGGCCAUUUCACAUGUUUUUGUAGAGCCAAAGUGCAAUAACGAGCUCAGGUGGUUGCCCUGUGCCCAGGAAACGUGUAAUCAGUGUAGGGGGAGCAGGGGGACUGUUAUUGUAAUUGUCACCUUUAGGGGCACCUGAGUGAUUCCAUUCAUGAAGUUGAAUGGUCUUGAUUUCGGCUCAGGUCAUGAUCUGAGGUUCGUGGGGU